RNAcentral lists this non-coding RNA (32 nucleotides) under Rattus norvegicus (Norway rat). The record is from RNAcentral. Lineage: Eukaryota; Metazoa; Chordata; Mammalia; Rodentia; Muridae.
UGGAGACUGGCAAUGACAAGGCUGCCACCUGU